GAUGAAGAACACAGCAAAAUGCGAUAAGUAAUGUGAAUUGCAGAAUUCAGUGAAUCAUCGAAUCUUUGAACGCACAUUGCGCCCGCUGGUAUUCCGGCGGGCAUGCCUGUUCGAGCGUCAUUUCAACCCUCAAACCCCCGGGUUUGGUGUUGGGGAUCGGCUCUGCCUCACGGCGGUGCCGCCCCCGAAAUACAUUGGCGGUCUCGCUGCAGCCUCCAUUGCGUAGUAGCUAACACCUCGCAACUGGAACGCGGCGCGGCCAUGCCGUAAAACCCCAACUUCUGAAUGUUGACCUCGGAUCAGGUAGGAAUACCCGCUGAACUUAAGCAUAUCAAUAAGCGGAGGA
RNAcentral lists this unclassified non-coding RNA (346 nucleotides) under soil metagenome. Its description in RNAcentral is "partial contains 5.8S ribosomal RNA, internal transcribed spacer 2, and large subunit ribosomal RNA". The stretch from base 1 to 120 matches the Rfam family "5.8S ribosomal RNA", at positions 35 to 154 of the family's 154-position model. The record is from RNAcentral.